Molecule: unclassified non-coding RNA, 279 nt
Filed under: plant metagenome
Description: partial contains small subunit ribosomal RNA, internal transcribed spacer 1, and 5.8S ribosomal RNA
Source: RNAcentral
UUUCCGUAGGUGAACCUGCGGAAGGAUCAUUACUGCAUAAUCUAGGUCCGAGGGCUUUCUCUGACCCGAUAGGUCGUGCACGCCCGAGUGCCCUCACACACAUCCAUCGCACCCCUAUGUACACCACCUCGUGGGUCCCCCUUUGGCUUGUUCGGGGGGUGGCCUACGUUUUCACACAUUCUUCGUAUGCAGUGUGGAAUGUAUCAUUUGUGAUUGCGACCACGCAUUCAAAACACCUUUCAAUAACCGACCUCUUGGCUCCCUCAUCGCUGAAGAACU